UUUAUCUCUCUCAAACCUUGAUCUCCCAGAAGAGGUCUCUGGCAGUUCUUUCAUUGAUUCAUCUGUACCAGUUUCUUUAUUACUCUUUAGGACGUUUUGAUUGGCUACCUUGAGUAGUAGAGGUGCUUUAGGGUGUGGCAUUCCUUGUUGCUGCCUCAUCAUCCGUCCGUAGUUUCGCUGGAAACGCCUUUGUUGAGUCCUGGUCAUCUCAUCGAAGGGUAUUGCUCUUCCUGCAGUGUACUGGAAUGAAUGCCAUACAUUUGGCCGGCGAGGUUGCG
RNAcentral lists this long non-coding RNA (278 nucleotides) under Olea europaea (common olive). RNAcentral's name for it is "long non-coding RNA (OEUR_LNC001654)". Lineage: Eukaryota; Viridiplantae; Streptophyta; Magnoliopsida; Lamiales; Oleaceae. The record is from RNAcentral.